UCGAAUGAGGCAAGACUACCCGCUGAACUUAAGCAUAUCAAUAAGCGGAGGAAAAGAAACCAACAGGGAUUGCCUCAGUAACGGCGAGUGAAGCGGCAAAAGCUCAAAUUUGAAAUCUGGCUCUUUCAGGGUCCGAGUUGUAAUUUGUAGAAGAUGCUUUGGGUGUGGCUCUGGUUUAAGUUCUUUGGAAUAUUACAUCAUAGAGGGUGAGAAUCCCGUAUGUGACCAGUUGCCGCGCCCGUGUAAAGCUCUUUCAACGAGUCGAGUUGUUUGGGAAUGCAGCUCAAAAUGGGAGGUAUAUUUCUUCUAAAGCUAAAUAUUGGCCAGAGACCGAUAGCGCACAAGUAGAGUGAUCGAAAGAUGAAAAGCACUUUGGAAAGAGAGUUAAAAAGCACGUGAAAUUGUUAAAAGGGAAGGGAUUGCAACCAGACUUGC
Molecule: ribosomal RNA, 435 nt
Filed under: Oxyrrhis marina
Lineage: Eukaryota; Dinophyceae; Oxyrrhinales; Oxyrrhinaceae
Description: partial Eukaryotic large subunit ribosomal RNA
Rfam family: Eukaryotic large subunit ribosomal RNA
Source: RNAcentral